UUGGGCACUCUAAGGUGACUGCCGGUGACAAACCGGAGGAAGGUGGGGAUUACUUCAAAUCAUCAUGCCCCUUAUGACCUGGGCUACACACGUGCUACAAUGGACGGUACAAAGAGCUGCAAGACCNCGAGGUGGANCUAAUCUCAUAAAACCGUUCUCAGUUCGGAUUGUAUGCUGCAACUCGCCUACAUGAAGCUGGAAUCGCUAGUAAUCGCGGAUCAGCAUGCCGCGGUGAAUACNUUCCCGGGCCUUGUACACACCGCCCGUCNNAUCACGANAGUUUGUAACACCCGAACUCGAGUGGGGUAACCUUUAUGGACCACCCGCCUAAGGUGGGACAGAUGAUUGGGGUGAA
RNAcentral lists this ribosomal RNA (355 nucleotides) under Firmicutes bacterium K-2054. RNAcentral describes it as "bacterial SSU rRNA". It matches the Rfam family "Bacterial small subunit ribosomal RNA", at positions 1131 to 1484 of the family's 1533-position model. The record is from RNAcentral. Lineage: Bacteria; Bacillati; Bacillota.